Gorilla gorilla gorilla (western lowland gorilla) is the source of this 60-nucleotide microRNA precursor. NCBI's taxonomy places the organism in Eukaryota, Metazoa, Chordata, Mammalia, Primates, Hominidae. The record is from Ensembl.
CAGGGAAAUGGGAAGAACUAGAUUUGAAUCCAGACCUUUAGUUCUUCCCUUUGCCCAAUU